This 82-nucleotide transfer RNA is filed under the name Halomicronema hongdechloris C2206. It matches the Rfam family "tRNA". From Rfam's summary of the family: Transfer RNA (tRNA) molecules are approximately 80 nucleotides in length. Their secondary structure includes four short double-helical elements and three loops (D, anti-codon, and T loops). RNAcentral also lists the same sequence under 1 other name. The record is from Rfam by way of RNAcentral. Lineage: Bacteria; Bacillati; Cyanobacteriota; Cyanophyceae; Nodosilineales; Nodosilineaceae.
GCGGAUGUGGUGGAAUUGGUAGACACGCACGCUUGAGGGGCGUGUGGCGAUAGCCUUGCGAGUUCGAGUCUCGCCAUCCGCA